Molecule: long non-coding RNA, 14226 nt
Filed under: Salmo salar (Atlantic salmon)
Lineage: Eukaryota; Metazoa; Chordata; Actinopteri; Salmoniformes; Salmonidae
Description: lncRNA (ENSSSAG00000117837.1)
Rfam family: tRNA (bases 4853-4929)
Source: RNAcentral
CAAAAAUAAGCUAUUUGGCGCCUCAAUCAAAAGCCCAUAAAGCUUAGCCAAUCAAAAGACGACGUUCCUUCGGUCUCGAGGGUCAUCCCUGCGGACCUGUGAAGAAGAAUGAUUCGGGCCAGACAUGAUAAAACUGUUCCACCAUGAGAGGGGAAGGAUGGAUGAAGCCUAGACGAGGAGACGUCUCCAUCAUCAUCAUGUGACUCCCCUGGGACCAGCAAGGCACAGGGUGGCCAGCUGGGACAAGAGCCCAACACUCCAAAUGUCUCUCCACUAGUGGCACUUAUCAGGAAGAAGAGACCCUGGUUGUCAACAUUGUACCCACCAUGGCACACCACCCAGUUGAUCUCCUUGUUAAAAUAUCUUGCAUACCGUAUGACAUUCAGGAGCCGAUAAAGGACCGAGAGAGCAGAGUUAAGUCCGGAUUCCUUGUGUAGUCCCCGUGAAGGACAGUUUAUGGCGGAUUUCUUUACUGCACAGUUUGGCACACCCCUUUUUUUUUACUGGGAGAGGAGAAGGCUUAACAGUUCAGAAACUAGUAAUAAGCGCCAUGUGAACUAUACAGGUCCUUAAAAUGAGCUCUCAGAUGCUGUUUACAAGACCGGUACCUUUUAAGAGUCUGUCUUUUCCAACGGCGGAAAGUCAAAUUGCCCUCCUCUUAAUUAUUGUCAGGGUGCAUGAUUUUUAUGAGGACCAGUCACAAUGCGAUACACCUGACAAUUUAAUUUUGACUCUUAUUAAAAGAGAGCAGUUGAUUCUGUCCAUUUAUUUAUUUAUUUAUUUUUGUUGUCAUUUAUGUAUUUGUUUGUUUAUUUGUUUAUUUAUGUUUUUGUUUAUGUAGAUACAAAUACGAGGUUGACAUUUGGGCACGCUGAAAACAUGAUUGUGGCUUUGCGGUUUAGCAGCCUCUAGCACUUCUUACUAUGAGGUGUGAGCUUUGGCAGUGUGGGUGAGCAUGGUGCUCCGUAGACCAGUAGCCAGUAGGUGGUGGUAGUAGCACUAGUAUGAAUCAGACUCCUGUAUUGGCCAAUGAUGUGUAUGUCUAGGAUCUUGGCUCAGUAACCAGGGGAAGGGAGAGGGGGAGAAACGGAUGGAGGGGCAUUUGGUGCACUGUGCUUCCUGUUAGUAGGCACUGGGGAACUCAGGCCUUUACAGAAAUGACAUGCUGCUGACACUGAGAGCUUCCCGGGAGCAGCUCAGUAUAGCUGGAUCUUAUUGUAAAAGCUUGGGUAGCAAUGUGUUUGACUUGAAGCACAAUAUACAAUCAAUGUAGAAAGCCUCCCAAUGAAACCAUAUGUUGAUGGAACCAUACCUUGUUAUUACAAGGAUUUAUAGUCAGUGCAUUACAUCCCACUCAAAUCUGGAUGUUGGGAGAAAACAUUUCAAUGUUGUGAAUGGAAAUGCAGUUAAACUUGGUGCUAGCCAGGCGCUGUUUAGUCAGGGAUGGUCAGUGUUUAGUCAGGGAUGGUCAGUGUUUAGUCAGGGAUGGUCUGUGUUUAGUCAGAAUGCACCUAUCUGUGCCUCUGUCUGUCUGUUUCUUCUCUUUCAGAUGACUGUGGAUCAACCUGACCAACUGCAAGUUCGAGAGCGAGCCAGACGGCGUUCAGACUGCUCUACAUUCGGGGCAUGUGAUGAGAAGGCAGCUGUGCUGUGCCUCCUUUCCCUUCGCAUAGGGAUUUCCCACACUCUGUGUCUCUGGGUUCAAACAACAUACUAUAAGUGUGUAAAAUGCACGCACAUGCAAACACACCCACACAGAGAGGGAGAACAUGAGCAACCAUGUACACAACCACAGAACUAAGCAGUAAGCAUUGCGACCAUAUCCGAUCCGAAAACCCACACAACUACACAAGUUCUACCCAUUACCACAACCUUUUGAUUAUGUUAUCCACAAACCCAGUACUACACUACGGCACACAAUUCAACACAACACCAAAGUAACACUUGUGAUACUCAACCAAGAACACACAUACAUUUACUGUGUCCAUACAUACACAUCAUGAACCAAACCACACAUUUCCUUCACUUCCUACCAAUGGCAAAUAAAGAUCCUUAGAUCCGUUCUCUAGUUGAGUGUCAGAUGUAGAUUAUUAUUUCCAGAAAUGAUUAAAUGCAUGUUCAGUAUCUUCAUGCCAAAAUAUUCUGAACGCCAAGAAAAUAUGAUGUUGCUAAUUUGGUAUUGUCUACAUAUGGACAGUCUGUCAAUGGUAUCAAGACCAGUAAGUUGAUACAGUACCAUAGUAUGAACACAUACUGAUAAUAUGAUGUAAAGUGCCUUCAGAAAGUAUUCACACCCCUUGACUUUUUCCACAUUUUGUUGUGUUACAAAGUGGGAUACAUUUUUUUUUUACAAUAAAAAAAUAAAACACUAAUAUACACUGCAUGAUAUAAAGUAUGUGGACACCUGCUUGUCGAACAUCUCAUUCCAAAAUCAUGGCCAUUAAUAUGGAGUUUGUCCCCCCUUUGCUGCUAUGACAGCCUCCACUCUUCUGGGAAGGCUUUCCACUAGAUGUUGGAACAUUGCUACAGGGACUUGCUUCUAUUCAGCCACAAAAGCAUUAGUGAGAUUGGGCACUGAUGUUGGGCGACUAGGCCUGGCUUGCAGUCAGUGUUCCAAUUCAUCCCAAAGGUGUUCAAUGGAGUUGAGGUCAGGGCUCUGUGCAGGCCAGUCAAGUUCUUCCACACCGAUCUCGACAAGCCAUUUCUGUAUGGACCUUGCUUUGUGUAUGGGGACAUUGUCAUGCUGAAACAGGAAAUGGCCUUUCCCAAACUGUUGCCACAAAGUUGGAAGCACAGAAUUGUCUAGAAUGUAAUUGUUUGCUGUAGCAUUAAGAUAUUCCUUCAUUGGAACUAAGGGGCCAAGCCCGAACCAUAAAAAACAGUCCCAGACUAUUAUUCCUCCUCCACCAAACUUUACAGUUGGCACUAUCCAUUCGGGCAGGUAGUGUUCUCCUGGCAUCCGCCAAACCCAGAUUAGUCCAUCGGACUGCCAGAUGGUGAAGCGUGAUUCAUCACUCCAGAGUCCAAUGGCGGCGAGCUUUACACCACUCCAGCCGACGCAUGGCAUAGAGCAUGGUGAUCUUCGGACAUUGUAACAAUAAUCGACAGCACCAUGGUGAACAAAAGGACACAUAUAUAUACAAAUACCAUCAGUGGGAAUAGGGGUCAGGUGUGCGUAAUGAAAGUUCCAGAGGGAUCCGUGACAAGUUAUGUCCUCAAACACUACAGUCCACAAAAACACUACAGUUUAACUAUAGUAAUAGUACAGUAUUUAAUUUGCAUAUACUCUGCCCAUUCCCCUCCCCCAUAUCCCAAUUUGUGCCACCCAUAAGUGAGAAACCUACAUGCCAAGUAUAGACCAUUUAUUGUGGUCCCUACUGGUUAUAGAAAAGAGCAGAAGCUCUGAACUAUCUGUUCAGACCCCAGUCCUACCAACCUACAGGUUAUAGAAAAGCCACCAUGUUCUAUGUUAAAUAUAAUAAAACAAAAACACUAUAGUAAAAUGUUAGUGUAAACUGUAAAAACAGUAGUACAUACUACAGUGUACUACAGUCUGCAAAAACACUACAGUCCUCAAAAAACAACGGUUUUCCCACUAUAGUAAUAAUACAGUAUUUAAACUAUAGUAUUUUUGAAUGUGGGCCUGACAGAAGAUCAACCACUUCCCUGGCAUGAUGGAGCUGUGCAAGAAGAACAUACUGGCUCGCAACAUUUACCGCAUGCUGAAGAGGUUCCCCAAGGUGUACAACAUCUUCCCCCGCACCUGGUGACGCUCCCAUUAGUCAAUUGGCACUAGCCUGGUUAAAUCAAACUGAAUGCUGCGCUCACCAUCAGGGCAUAAAAUUUACUUUUUGGUCCCCUAGCCACUGUGGCAGGUAGAUGAAAAAAUCUAGCCACUCAGAUUUUUUCCUCCAGACAAAAUAUUUUUUCCCCAGCUAAAAUGACACCAAAAAACACCAAAAAACAUAUGAGCAUGCUCUGUAAUGUUUCUAAAACACUCAAAUGUAUUACUAGUAAGAAGUAACUAAUGUGGUAUAUUGAAUAAUAUAUAUAUAUUUUUUAACCAAAAUAUCACAGAUGGGGGGGAAAAAAGUUAACCGGCCACUUUAAGACCGGGAAGUCACCGUGGUAGCGAGACUCAAGUCAUGUUUGUGCCUGUGUGAUUAAGGCUGCGUUUCAAACUCAUAAAAGACACACCCUCCUCCAUUUACCCUAGCUUUAUGCGCUUGGGGGAAUCCCCACGGCCAUCUUUGUCGUCAGUCCAAACAAUUAGCCAAACAAGGGAAGUUCGCUACGUAAGCCCCUCAACCCUCGUUUUUGAUCGAGUCAAUUAUGUUCACUUCGGAGCCUGAAACGCCCCAUAAUUCAAUUCGCGAUGAUUGUACAUCCGCUAAGAAAAGUCAGCCAAAACUUAAAACCUCAAUGUCAAUACGGAGAAGUUAACAUACAAGUGUAAGUAAAAACUAAGGUAAAUAACUUAGAAAUGUUGCUACUAAUGCACAUGACAGCACAAACACGUCUUGUAAAAGUAAUGAUGUUUUUGUUUGGUUAGCUUUUGGAAAUGGUAUAAAUAAAACAUUUUCCUUCAGAAGUUCCAGCUUGGCAGGCUAACGUUAAUUAAUUUGCUAGCUAUCAUACAGUAGGCGUAUAUUAAUAAUUAUAUAGUUAAUAUAAGUAGACAUGCAAUCCAUAAUUGACUGUAGCGCAUAUAAAGCACCCACAAGCUACCAGUGGCUGAAAACACAAUCGUUGCGGGAUGAACGAGUGACGAAUUUCCGGGCAAGGGCGGUCCAUUUAAAAUGAAUUCCUUCCUCCCUCACCCCUCACCCUUUGCCCUGCAAGUGUAAACUGCGGCUCAGUUGGUAGAGCAUGGUGUUUGCAAUGCCAGCAUGGUGUGUGCAACGCCAGGGCUGUGGGUUCGAUUCCCACGGGGGGCCAGUACAAAAAAAAAAAUUAUGAAAUGUACGCAUUCACUACUAAAAGUCUCUCUGGAUAAGAGUGUCUGCUAAAUGACUAAAAUGUAAAUGUAAUGAUACGUCAUCAGAAGUGUCCACUUAAUUUGAGGGCUGAGGGGAGAGGGGGUGUCUUUUAAGUGUUUGGAAUGCAGCCUAAGUCUGAUUAGUGAAAGUGGUCUUCUCUUCCCUAGCAGUUGAAACUCAAACAUAGAAAAACAACCUAGCUUGUGAACAAAACAAUGUAAAUUAGCCAAGAAACACAAGGACAAAGUCUCGCUGUUGCAGCGCGAGUAGGCUUUAUAGAAUUUCUUUGACUUUGUGAGAUUAAUUUACCAGCUAUGAAACAAAACGGUGCAAAUGCUUUCAAAACAGCUGCUGCAGCAUUUAUUUGACUAUAAAUGUGAUCAUACUUGACUAUUUUUAUUCAGAAAUCAAAUGCUUGCGCUGUGGAGCCUUGACCAACCGCCAGCGUGGCUGGUGAAAUAGACAUCUUACCCGACAAUGCCAAAAUCUACCCAUAUUUGGCAGGUGUUAAUUGUAUGCCCUGCUCACCAUUCAAUCUGGUUUAACCACGCUAGAUUGAUACACCUUUUACAUUAGAUAAUACACCAUUAUCCUUUGAUUGCAUGAUGUCUGUGAAUGAAAAUCCCAAACUCUUUCUUAGAGGACAGAGGGGAGAUGGACAUUAUUGGCCCUGUACCCUGCGGUGUACUUUGGAAUUUGAUAAUGCUUUCUAUUUGUUAUCUAAAUCAAGGUUUCCCAACCAUUUAGGGAUAUCGGGUCUAGACUUUAUUUUCCUUAUUAUUAUUGUUAUUAUUAUUAUUAUUUGUAUGAUUAUUAUUAUUAUUACCAUUAUUAUGUUUUAACAUUAACUAGCCUACCAAAAUAUGUAAUGAGUCUUGUUAAACUACAUAAAAUUGCAGGAAAUGAGCUUAAAAAACAAACAUUUUCCUAGGUCCUUCAAAUUAAAUAAAUUCAAACUGGUGUUUUAUUUAAUAUACGCUAUCUAAAUAUACCACAUUUUUAUGACAUUUUUUUUAUGUGAAAAGGGGGCCCUGGGGAAAAAUGGCUGGGACCCCUGAUUUAAAUAAUUUCUGAAAGUACAAUAGGAGCAGGAUUAACUUUUUUUAUUUUAUUGUACUGCAUUUACAAGAAGAUGUGAAGAAGAUGCAGCUGUGUUGGAAAUGGAUCUAAACAUCUGUGCUUCUUUUUUGGCAACUGAAGCCUUGUCUUUUAUAAUACUGCCUCUUGUAUUUAAACGUCUUUGUUGUGUACCUCCCACUACCGCUCCACAGUUACAGUGACUUCCAGGCCUACACCAGGGCCAAAAAGCACAAGACGUACAGUACCAGUCAAAAGUUUGGACACACCUACUCAUUCAAGGGUUUUUCAAUAUUUUUACUAUUUUCUACAUUGUAGAAUAAUAGUGAAGACAUCAAUACUAUGAAAUCACACUUAUGGAACACUUAUUUCAUACUUGUGAUGUCUUCACUAUUGUUCUACAAUGUAGAAAAUAGUAAUAAUAAAGCAAAACCCUUGAAUGAGUAGGUGUGUCCAAAAGUUUGACUGGUACUGUACAUCUGCAAGGCGGACACGGGCAGCCAGGGCCGUGACAUCUACCUCACCAAGUCCACCAAAGACUUCCCACACGGAGAGCACAUGAUCUGCCGGAUCUACAUCUUCAGGGCAUGACUGUAGUCUCAUGUACUGCAACAAAUAAUAACAUAGUGCAUAGAUCUGUGGUUUUCAACCUGUGGUCCUUAGGGCUACUGCAGGUGGUCGUGGUUUUUAAAAUAGUAUUUCUUCCUAAAAUAACAACAUUUGGGAAUAUUAAUGGUAUAAUAAGCCAUUUUAAAUAGCGUUUAACAAUGCAGAUUGUUUAUCAUUAUAAUAAUAAUAAUAAUAGGCCUUUAAACUUUUACAUUCACUGAUAAAAUGUACUCUAAAUUGUAUUUAUUUAAAAUUCUGCAUCUGCGCGAAUGGUGGUCCACAAACUUUUGACUGUGGUCCCCGGAACGGAAAACUUUGGGAACCAAUAGAUGUAUGUGGCUCCUGUUCCUAUUCUAUUCAAUGUUAUUGAAUAUAUUCCAUAAUAUCCAGUAACUGGAGUUGCCAGGGAAGGCGAAACAGGCAUUUUCUCAACCUGUCUUGUCAUAUCUCCAGAUAUUCUACUUUGUCUCAGCCUCUUGUUCCUCUCUGCCACCACAAGCAGCCAUUGGUCAUUGACGGCUUCACGUUUGACCUGCGCAGCUACGUGCUGGUGAUUUCUGCGACCCCCUUCCGUAUCUUCCUGUAUAAGGAGCAGCUGGCCCGCUUCUGCACCCGCCACUUCAACUACUCCACCCGCAACAACGUGGUGCGGCACGGCACAACCACAGGAGAGGGCAACGUGUUUUACAUUGUGUGCUUCUCAUGUUUAUUUCAAUGUCAUUGGUCUUUUAUGUUCGUACUGUGUAGUUUUGUUAGGGAUCGUAUUUAAAGUUUCAAGUUUUUUAUGCCACGUGCACAAGUACAGUGAAAUGCCUUUCUGGCAAGCUCUAAACCCAACAAUGCAGUAUUCAAUAUUAAUAUAGUGCUACAAAUAACAUAAGGUCAAACAAACACACAAGAUAUUAAAAUAAGAGCACGAGAAGUAAUUAAGCUAUAUACAGGGUCAGUUCCAAUACCAGAUUUACAAUGUGCAGGGAUACUGGAGUGAUAGAGGUAGAUAUGUAUAGGGGUAAGAUGACUAGGCCUCAGGAUACAAUAUAUGAUAAACAGUGUAGCAGCAUAUGAUGAUUGUACUGUAUGUGAGUGUGUGUAAAUGUGCCAGUCUAAAUGUGUGUGCAUGUUAUGUGUGUGUGAGCAAAUUAAGUGUGUGUGAGUGUGCAUAGAGACAGUGCAAAAAUAAAAUGAAUGUAUAGUACAAUGUAGGAUAGAAGUGGUAACAUUUGUUUUCAUCAGGAAAUUGAUAUGUUGUACAUCAUCAGUAUGUUCUAAACGUGUUCAAGGGGACAGAGACAGACAGGAACACACUCAAACACAGACACGCAGGCAGACGGACUUAGAUAAGAUAGACGUCUGUCUUUGAACUCAGUGGGUGUGUUCAAUCUUGCUCCUCUCAAACCGUAUUUGUUUACCAGUGAUAUGGCCCCAUUGAUGACUCAAGCUACUGUUUUACAAGCUCUUGUCAUAAAAGACUUAGCAUGGGCCGACAUCGAGGAUGUGGUGAUCAAGGCUCUGGUCUCAGCCCACUCAGUGCUCCACCACAGCUACCACACCUGCUUCUCGCACAACACCACCACCAGUUCUCUGCCCCCGAGCCUGCCUGCCAUCCUGCACCUGCCUGACUCUGACCUGAUCACGUACCACGUACCUCUGCCUGCCCUCUGCCUGCCCUGUGUUUCUAAUAAAUAAUCUGAGAACUGUACUAUCCGCCUCCCGUGUCUGCAUCUGGGUCAUAUCCUGAGUCUGAUAGUACAAACUGGCCAUGACUGACCCAGCAGACUCUUACCGGCUCUGCAGCGCCAUCUUCUCCCAGGGAGCCACCAUUGGAAGACACAACGAGUUACUUAAAGUACUUAUGGAAGGAUUCCAGACCUUGGCGGUACACCAGGACCGUGCCCUCAACACAUUGCUGGAACAAUUCCUCGGAUUGUCUGUGAGGCAGCCCGCCACUACAGUAAUCCCCCAGACUGUCAAUUACCCCACUACCACUGGCGUUUUUCCCCAAUCUACCCUGGCUUCCCAAGAACCCUGCAUACCUCCUCCGGAUCGCUACGCUGGAGAUCCCGGAUUCUGCCGGGCAUUUCUCUCCCAGUGUUCUCUCAUAUUUGAGCUGCAGCCCUCUUCAUUUGCAUGCUACCCUGGUGUCGGAGCAGGGAAUCCCCACACAACCCCUCUCCAUUCCCAUGGACAUCAGAGUGUCGGAUGGGCGCUCUAUUGGCAGAGUCACCCACACCACGUGUCCCAUUAACCUGAGAGUGUUGGGUAAUCACAGUGAGUUUAUGCAGUUCCUGCCGAUCGAAUCCCCUCAUGCACCUGUGGUUUUGGGGUUUUCCUGGCUCCAGACGCACAAUCACCUGAUCGACUGGGCUACUGGUUCUAUCCUGGGUUGGAGCCCGUUUUGCCAUGGGCAUUGCCAGAAGUUGGCGCUGCCUGCCCCGGGACGUCUUCCUGUGGGCUUGGGAAAAGCCCCGGACCUCUCCCCCGUUCACGCGGAGUACCAGGACCUCCAGGAGGUUUUUAGCAAGGCCCGUGCAAGUGCGCUUCCUCCGCAUUGGCCCUAUGACUGCGCCAUCGACCUUCUCCCGGGUACUACACCGCCUCGGGCGCAGCUUUAUUCCCUGUCAGGUCCGGAGACCAAGACAAUGGACCUGCCCUUUGCCUGCCCUGGCGUUUUGAUGGGUCCCCCCGCGGGACGGAUGAGCUAACAUAGGCUAAUGCGAUUAGCAUGAGGUUGUAAGUAACAAGAACAUUUCCCAGGACAUAGACAUAUCUGAUAUUGGCAGAAAGCUUAAAUUCUUGUUAAUCUAACUGCACUGUCCAAUUUACAGUAGCUAUUACAGUGAAAUAAUACUAUGCUAUUGUUUGAGGAGAGUGCAUAGUUAUAAACCAAUUAGGCACAUUUGGGCAGUCUUGACACAAACAUUUUAACCGAAAUGCAAUGGUUCAUUGGAUCAUUCUAAAACUUUGCUCAUACACUGCUGCCAUCUAGUGACCAAAAUCAAAAUUGCGCCUGGGCUGGAAAAAUAUAUUAUGGCCUUUCUCUUGCAUUUCAAAGAUGAUGGUACAAAAUAAAAAAAUUAAGAAACGUAUGUUUUUUUCUAUGUAUUAUCUUUUACGAGGACCAGCACCUGGGCGGCAUCCGCAGGAUCUUCCCCCGCCAGGGAGGGGAGGAGUACGACAAGUACCUCAAACACAGCAGCUCCCUCUUCCAGGAGACAGCUGCCACCAAGGCCAGAGAGAGGUGCACCAGGGUGACCCAGGCGCUGAAGGAGGAAGAGGAGGGGGUGGAAGAACGUCUCGGGGCUGCAGCUGAGGGCCAGCCUGCUCAGAGACCUGGGCAGACCAGGUGUACGUCACAAUGCCACCUGUUGUCAAGACUGACUUACGGCAAUAUAUAAGCAACAUGGCAGCCAAGUCAGUGCCUCUCUGAGUAAGCUGGGUAACCACAACAACAGCAGCUCUAACGGGCCCUUUGCUGAAAUGCACGUGCAAGGCCCUCCCCCUAUCACCCUGAGGCCGCCCCACCCAAGGCUGCCCCACCCUCAGGUAUGUGAAGGACCCAGCGAUUGUUUUUGGUAACAAAUGCCACCUCUCUUCAGGUUUUGGGCAAGUUGGUAAGACAAGGUGGGUGAAAUAAGAUUUUCCCACACCUUUGGGGAAACCACAGCAGCUGUCUUAGUCUUCAGCUGUGACCUAGUGUGGACGCAGCGCAAGGCUCUCACUCCAGCAGCCCACUUCCGGCUGCCGCAGCUGUCCAGCGGACACUUUGUGGUGUCGUAGGGAGUGAGGAAGAUAUACCAGGCUACAGACCAGACUGUGGUCAACCGCUGUGAUUAGGCAGAACACCAGACCAGGAAGCACCUCGUCGACAACAAGGCCAUCGACCACGAUCACUUAAGGGACCUGCUCAAAGAAGAAGCUAUGGACUUAGAUAACGGCAAGUCUGCUGACCCUUCCAUGAACCAGCCAAACCAGCCGAUCUGAGACUCGUUGAGACUAUGUUGUACAGGUCAACAUAACUACAGGCAUGCUUGUGGAUUGCAUGCUGACACUUGUUUUUACUCUGCCAAGAUGAUUUUGUCCAGAUGAGAAUGUGGAUGGAACAUUGGUUCAUCUAUCAAGCCUCAUCAAGAGACGUUACUCCUCAAUAAUAAUACCUACAUGUUUCAAGCAGACCACCAAGGAAGUGAAGGUAACCUGCCUAAAUGAUUACUGCACCGUGGCACUCACGUCGGUAGCCAUGAAGUGCUUUGAAAGGCUGGUCAUGGCUCACAUCAACAGUAUCCUCCCGGACACCCUAGACCCACUCCAAUUCACAUACUGCUCCAACAGAUCCACAGAUGACGCAAUCUUAAUCGCACUCCACACUGCCCUUUCUCACCUGGACAAAAGGAACACCUAUGUGAGAAUGCUGUUCAUUGACUACAGCUCAGCGUUCAACACCAUAGUGCCCACGAAGCUCAUCACUAAGCUAAGGACUCUGGGACUAAACAACUCCCUCUGCAACUGGAUCCUGGACAUCCUGAUGGGCCGCCCCCAGGUGGUAAGAGUAGGCAACAACAUGUCUGCCACGUCGAUCCUUAACACUGGUGCCCCUCCUGUAUUCCCUGUUCUCCCACGACUACGUGGCCAAACACGACUCCAACACCAUCAUUAAGUUUGCUGAUGACACAACAGUGGUAGGCCUGAUCACCGACAACGAUGAGACGGCCUAUAGGGAGGAGGUCAGAGAACUGGCAGUGUGGUGCCAGGACAACAACCUCUCCCUCAAUGUGAGCAAGACUAAGGAGCUGAUUGUGGACUAUAGGAAAAGGCGGCCGAACAGGCCCCCAUUAACAUCGACAGGGCUGUAGUGGAGCGGGUCGAGAGUUUCAAGUUCCUUGGUGCCCAUAUCACCAACAAACUAUCAUGGUCCAAACAUACCAAGACAGUCUUGAAGAGGGCACGACAAUACAUUUUCCCCCUCAGGAGACUGAAAAGAUUUGGCAUGAGUCCCAAGAUCCUCAAAAGGUUCUACAUCUGCACCAUCGAGAGCAUCCUGACCGAUUGCAUCACCGCCUGGUAUGGCAACUGCUUGGCAUCUGACCGUAAGGCGCUGCAGAGGGUAGUGCGAACGGCCCAGUACAUCACUGGGGCCAAGCUUCCUGCCAUCCAGGACCGAUAUAAUAGGCGUGUCAGAGGAUAGUCCAUACAAUUGUCAGAGACUCCAGUCACCCAAGUUAUCGACUGUUUUUUCUGCUACCGCACGGCAAGCGGCACCGGAGCGCCAAGUCUAGGACCAAAAGGCUCCUCAAUGUCAUCUACCCCCAAGCCAUAAAUUCAUAAAAUCGCCACCGGACAAUUUACAUUGAUUCCCCCCCACUCCCUUUUGUACACUGCUACUACUCGCUGUUUGUUUGUUACCUAUGCAUAGUCACUUCGCCCCUACCUACAUGUACAGAUUACCUCAUAGCCUGUACCCCCGCACACUGACUCUAUACCGGUGCCCCCUGUAUAUAGCCUCGUUAUUAUUAUUCUUGUUGUGUUACUUUUUAUUAUUACUUUUUUUAUUUUAGUUUACUUGGUAAAUAUUUUCUUCUUCUUUGACUGCACUGUUGGUUAAGGGCUUGUACAGUUGAAGUUGGAGGUUUACAUACACCUUAGCCAAAUACAUUUAAACUCAGUUUUUCACAAUUCUUGACAUUUUAAUCCUUGUAAAAAUUCCCUGUCUUAGGGCAGUUAGAAUCACCACUUUAUUUUAAGAAUGUGAAAUAUCAGAAUAAUAGUAGAGAGAAUGAUUUAUUUCAACUUUUAUUUCUUUCAUCACAUUCCCAGUGAGUCAGAAGUUUACAUACACUCAAUUAGUAUUUGGUAGCAAUGCCUUUACAUUGUUUAACUUGGGUCAAGCGUUUCGGGUAGCAUUCCACAAGCUUCCCACAAUAAGUUGGGUGAAUUUUGGCCCAUUCCUCCUGACAGAGCUGGUGUAACUGAGUCAGGUUUGUAGGCCUCCUUGCUCGCACACGUUUUUUCAGUUCUGCCCACAAAUUUUCUAUAGGAUUGAGGUCAAGGCUGUGUGAUGGCCACUCCAAUACCUUGAUUUUGUUGUCCUUAAGCUAUUUUACCACAACUUUGGAAGUAUGCUUGGGGUCAUUGUGCAUUUGGAAGACCCAUUUGCGAGCAAGCUUUAACUUCCUGACUGAUGUCUUGAGAUGUUGCUUCAAUAUAUCCACAUAAUUUUCCAUCCUCAUGAUGCCAUCUAUUUUGUGAAGUGCACCAGUCCCUCCUGCAGCAAAGCACCCCCACAACAUGAUGCUGCCACCUCCGUGCUUCCCGGUUGGGAUGGUGUUCUUCGGCUUACAAGCCUCCCCCCUUUUCCUCCAAACAUAACAAUGGUCAUUAUGGCCAAACAGUUCCAUUUUUGUUUCAUCAGACCAGAGGACAUUUCUCCAAAAUGUACGAUCUUUGUCCCCAUGUGCAGUGGCAAACCGUAGUCUGGCUUUUUUAUGGCGGUUUUGGAGCAGUGGAUUCUUUCUUGCUGAGCGGCCUUUCAGGUUAUGCCGAUAUAGGACUCACUUUACUGUGGAUAUAGAUACUUUUGUACCUGUUUCCUCCAGCAUCUUCACAAGGUCCUAUGCUGUUGUUCUGGCAUUGAUUUGCACUUUUCGCACCAAAGUACGUACAUCUCUAGGAGACAGAACGCAUCUCCUUCCUGAGCUGUAUGGUGGCUGCGUGGUCCCAUGGUGUUUAUACUUGCGUACUAUAGUUUGUACAGAUGAACGUGGUACCUUCAGGCGUUUGGAAAUUGCUCCUAAGGAUGAACCAGACUUGUGGAGGUCUACAAUUUUUUUUCUGAGGUCUUGGCUGAUUUCUUUUGAUUUUCCCAUUAUGUCAAGCAAAGAGGCACUGAGUUUGAAGGUAGGCCUUGAAAUACAUCCACAGGUACACCUCCAAUGGACUCAAAUGAUGUCAAUUAGCCUAUCAGAAGCUUCUAAAGCCAUGCCAUCAUUUUCUGGCAUUUUCCAAGCUGUUUAUUGGCACAGUCAACUUAAUGUAUGUAAACUUCUGACCCACUGGAAUUGUGAUACAGUGAAAUAAUCUGUUUGUAAACAAUUGUUGGAAAAAUUACUUGUGUCAUGCACAAAGUUAGAUGUCCUAACCGACUCACCAAAACUGUAGUUUGUUAACCUGUUGGGGCUAGGGGGCAGUAUUUGCACGGCUGGAUAAAAAAAUGUACCCGAUUUAAUCUGGUUACUAAUCCUACCCAGUAACUAGAAUAUGCAUAUACUUAUUAUAUAUGGAUAGAAAACACUCUAAAGUUUCUAAAACUGUUUGAAUGGUGUCUGUGAGUAUAACAGAACUCAUUUGGCAGGCAAAACCCUGAGACAUUUUCUGACAGGAAGUGGAUACCUGAUGUGUUGUAUUACCUUUAAACCUAUGCCAUUGAAAAACACAGGGGCUGAGGAAUAUUUUGGCACUUCCUAUUGCUUCCACUAGAUGUCACCAGCCUUUACAAAGUGUUUUGAGUCUUCUGGAGGGAGAUCUGACCGAACAAGAGCCAUGGAACGAUGAUGGCCCAUUAGACACC